Molecule: long non-coding RNA, 548 nt
Filed under: Lupinus angustifolius (narrow-leaved blue lupine)
Lineage: Eukaryota; Viridiplantae; Streptophyta; Magnoliopsida; Fabales; Fabaceae
Description: long non-coding RNA (LANG_LNC000539)
Source: RNAcentral
UCUUUUUCUCUCUCAUUACUUCUUGCACUCUUCCCUGGGAUUGGCUUUGGGCCUUUGUUAAGACUUCUUCCUUCUGAGCUUACUUGCCAAUUCUUAGCAUUGGUACCGGUACUUUUCUCAUCCUAUGACUAUCAACAGACUCACUACUAUGGCAAGGCUUUAGUUUCGCUCUCUCCUAAACCUACCCUAAUAAAAAAGACUAAAGUCAAGACACCUACUUACUCGACUAUAAAGUAAAGGAGACGCUAUUAUGUAUCUUGACCGAACAAGCUACUGCUUUUGAAUAGAAUAAAAUGUCAUUCGAUACCGUAGCUUAUAGCUUUGGUUUGAAGAUGCUAGACCGGAAGAAAGGAGAGGGUAUUACCACAAGAAGGCAUUUCUUACUUCAUUACAGGGAUUAAGUUCAAGCCUACAUCUAAAGGAAGGGAGGUUUGAAGAGCGAGAGCAACUCGUUAGGGCUAAGGUAUGAAAUUGACAUAGCUUUGCGAGAGGAAUGAUUGAUUUUCUUAGUUGUCUUCCUUCAAUUCAUGGGGUUAGGUCUAACUAUC